Odontomachus brunneus is the source of this 1666-nucleotide long non-coding RNA. RefSeq lists it as uncharacterized. The record is from RefSeq and is a predicted model, not a curated record. The transcript has 3 exons. Lineage: Eukaryota; Metazoa; Arthropoda; Insecta; Hymenoptera; Formicidae.
CCAGACGUUGAUCUAGCGUCGUUCAGGUUGGGUUUGAAGAAUCGUCCGGACGACAACUUUUCGCCGCACUCGAGACUGCGGCGAAUUUCGCCCGACAUGCGCAGAAGAAACUAGCUAUAGCUACGCGCGCUAUAAGCUCACAUGACAGAUUUGUCAUAAGUGAUAUAAGGUUAUUAUAUUUAUUAUUAAGAUGAUUUAUUUAGUAAGACGAGGAGGACGAAGAAUCAGGACAGUGCCACUAUAUAAAAGAAGAAAAACAAGGAUUUUUAGUUGAAUUGGUAAAAAGUAUAAUGCAAUAUUGUAUAGCAGAAAGUGCUAUUAUGUUGUAUGAAACGUUUUUCUUCAUGGAUGUCGAAUCUGAUGAUAAAUAUUCUGAAGAAGAGGAGCUAAUGGAAUUAAUACAUUCAGAUAUUGUCAAACCGAAUAAAUUCCAAAAAAAAGUUCCAUCUCAAAUAAAAUAUUUUAUUGAGCAUACAAUGUUAAAUAGUACUGCAAAGGAAUUUCAAUCACAUUUUAGAAUAACAAGACAGACAUUUGAGUACUUAUAUGUUACGAUCUCACCACACUUGCAAAGUUCUAGUGGUCGACGAACAAUAGAUACACAGAAGCAAAUUCUUGCUGUUCUUUGGAUACUAGCCACUCCUGAUAGUUAUAAGUUAGUAUAGGAUAGAUCUAUUGGUUCAAGAUUUGAUAUGGGCAAGCCUCUUUGUUUGUUUUGUCAGAGUAAUAAAAGCUCUCAAUAAAAUUGCUCCUAAAAUGAUAGUUUGGCCAAAGGGAGAAGAAGCUAUAAAAGUUGAAAAGGGAUUUUCUAAAUCGGCUGGGAUCAGAGGAGUUGUAAGUGCCAUCGAUGGAACUUAUGUUCCUAUAAAAGCACCAAAAAAAGAUGCUGAAGCAUUAAUAGAAAAUAUUAAUAUUAAUAGAAAAUGUUUUCACGGUAUUACGUUGCAAGGUAUUUGUGAUGAUCAAAUGAAGUUCACAGAUUGUUUUACUGGUUAUCCCAGUUCUGUCUCUGACGUGCGAAUUUUAAAAAAUUCUAUUAUUUAUGCAGAGUUUAUUAAUAAUCCAAAUGCAUAUUUUGGAGAAAAUAAUUUUGGCGAUAAAGCUUAUCCAAAUAAAAAAUGGUGUAUAUCACCUUACAUAGAUCGAGGUCGUUUAACAAGACGGCAAAAGAAUUUUAAUACAGCUCAUGCAAAAACCCGCCAAGUCAUUGAAAGUCUUUCGCAUUACUAUUUGGUCGAUUUCGUCGCCUGAAAUAUCUAGAUAUGAACAGAAUAGACCUGAUUCCGGCCACAAUAAUAGCGUGUUGUGUUUUACAUAACAUAUGCCUAAAGGAUCAAGAUGAUUUAAUGAAUAUAUAUGAAGAAGAAGGACGUGACUUUGUUAUAAAUGACACAGUUGAAAACAUUGAAAUAAAUUCUUCUGCAGAACAACUUACUCACGAAGGGAUGGUUUUAUGAGAUAUGCUAGCACUGAAUUUUUAAAAGCAUCUUUUAAAGAAGUAAAUAUACAUAUUAUUUAUAUAUGUAUAUAUUUAUAUUUUAUCAAUUGUAUUUGUUAUGAUUGUAGCAUUUUGCACAUAAAUGUUAAUAAAUAAAAGAAUUCAACAUUUUUUUUUAAUAAUGAAUAAAAACAAAUAUUUUAUAUAAUUUCACUACAUGCUACACAC